AAUUAUGAAAUUUAUUUUUUUUUCAUAUUUUUUUAGGUUUAUCUGUACCAUCGCAAGGCAAUACAAUUCAGAUAAUCCUUGAUGAUUAUGAUGAUAAUGAAGAAGAAAGUUUGGUGAUGGACCAUGAAAAAGAUUGAUGAAAUGGAGAAAGUUUAGCAUAAGUACUUAGUUGUUCUCUUUUUAGUUGAUUGUUUUCUUAUCGUAAAGGGG
RNAcentral lists this long non-coding RNA (210 nucleotides) under Elaeis guineensis (African oil palm). RNAcentral's name for it is "long non-coding RNA (EGUI_LNC019955)". The record is from RNAcentral. Lineage: Eukaryota; Viridiplantae; Streptophyta; Magnoliopsida; Arecales; Arecaceae.